UGAGGAAUAUUGGUCAAUGGGCGCAAGCCUGAAUCAGCCAUCCCGCGUGCAGGAAGACGGCGCUAUGCGUUGUAAACUGCUUUUCCAGGGGGAGAAACUUGCGCACGUGUUGCGCAAUUGACGGUACCCUGGGCAUAAGCAUCGGCUAACUCCGUGCCAGCAGCCGCGGUAAUACGGAGGAUGCGAGCGUUAUCCGGAUUCAUUGGGUUUAAAGGUUGCGUAGGCGGACUAUUAAGUCAGUGGUGAAAUCCUGCAGCUUAACUGCAGAACUGCCAUUGAUACUGAUAGCCUUGAGUUUGGUUAAGGUAGGCGGAAUGUGUGAUGUUGCGGUGAAAUGUUUAGAUAUUACACAGAACACCAAUUGCGUAGGCAGCUUACUGAGCCGACACUGACGCUGAGGCACGAAAGCGUGGGGAUCGAACAG
Molecule: ribosomal RNA, 424 nt
Filed under: uncultured bacterium
Lineage: Bacteria
Description: bacterial SSU rRNA
Rfam family: Bacterial small subunit ribosomal RNA
Source: RNAcentral